This 372-nucleotide ribosomal RNA is filed under the name uncultured organism. RNAcentral's name for it is "partial 16S ribosomal RNA". It matches the Rfam family "Bacterial small subunit ribosomal RNA", at positions 527 to 896 of the family's 1533-position model. The record is from RNAcentral.
GUAGGUGGCAAGCGUUGUCCGGAAUUAUUGAGCGUAAAGCGCGCGCAGGCGGUUCUUUAAGUCUGAUGUGAAAGCCCACGGCUCAACCGUGGAGGGUCAUUGGAAACUGGAGAACUUGAGUACAGAAGAGGAAAGCGGAAUUCCACGUGUAGCGGUGAAAUGCGUAGAGAUGUGGAGGAACACCAGUGGCGAAGGCGGCUUUCUGGUCUGUAACUGACGCUGAGGCGCGAAAGCGUGGGGGGAGCAAACAGGAUUAGAUACCCUGGUAGUCCACGCCGUAAACGAUGAGUGCUAAGUGUUAGGGGGUUUCCGCCCCUUAGUGCUGCAGCUAACGCAUUAAGCACUCCGCCUGGGAGUACGGCCGCAAGGCUG